UGAGGCGAGUAGCUAUGAUUCCACUAUUUUCAUCUAAAGAAGCAUCCAAUUCUUCCAUGGCAUCCAACUUGCUACCUGAUAUACGUGCUGCUCAAAGCGAUGUAAUCAAUUUGCAAGAACAAUUAUGCUAAGAGGUUAACGUAUUAAAUCAAACACAUCAAUUUGCAAGAGCAAUUAUGCUGAGAGGUUAACGUAUUAAAUCAAACACAUCAAUUUGCAAGAGCAAUUAUGCUGAGAGGUAAACAUAUUAAAUCAAAACUACUGUUCGGCAACUACCAUACUCUCACCAAAGACAACAGAUAGAGUAAACAGGUGUCUCAUAAUGAAAAAAAGAGAGAGAAAAAGAAUCAGAUAUGCACUUGAGAAUAAUAACCCAUUAUAUUUUUUCCUUUUUUCUUUCAACAUCUUGAUAUUGAGGUGGAUUUGGUUACAGCCAACUCCUACUAGUUGGGAUUGAGGCCUUGCUGUUGUUGUUGUUGAUAAUAGUAAUAGAAACAUGUUUGGUAAUAAAUAGGGGUGGCAAUGGGUACCCGCGGGUCAUAUUUCUUGAUAUAUGUACCCUACCCCGUUACCUAUCGAGUAAAAAAUUUAGAUAUCUAUAAACUAUCAUCAUAUUUCAGUUAUCUAUAUGGGUAUUCAUUAUCUAAUUAUUAUUUAUGAUCCAGUAAAAAAUAGCUUAUAAAAUAAUAAUCAUAUUUAAAUUAUAAAAUUAUAAAUAUAAUAUACGUGUUUUAUUGUAAUAUUAAGAUAUGAAUAUAUCAUAUUGUAUUAAAAAAAAUCUAAAUGUUCUACAAAUAUAUCAAUACAGUGUAACUAUAUAUUUCGGGUUAGGUUUAGAUAAGUUUUGGGUCGGGUUUGACAAUAUUCAUACCUUACCCGCUACUCAUUGGGUAAAGUGACAAUCAAAAAAAUAUCCAUCUAUUCAGGUUGUUAUCUAUUAGGUUCGGAUUAAAUUGUCAUCCCUAGUAAUGGGGUUUAAAGAUUAGGUUUCAUCUAAUCUCAAAAGUGGAAAAACCAAAACAGUCCUCUGUAUAAUCUGUGAAGACAAUCAUGUCUGAUACCCCAAACUAUCAUAUUAAUCCAGACAUUCAGUCUGAUAGUAUGACAUCAACCUCGGUCACAAGAUCAGAAGAUAAGCAUUUCAUUCUCGGCAAUUUUUUUAACCAGAUAAAUGUAUUACAAAUGCAGAAACUUAGUGCAU
RNAcentral lists this long non-coding RNA (1201 nucleotides) under Populus tremula. RNAcentral describes it as "long non-coding RNA (PTRE_LNC000483)". The record is from RNAcentral. Lineage: Eukaryota; Viridiplantae; Streptophyta; Magnoliopsida; Malpighiales; Salicaceae.